GACGAACGCUGGCGGCGUGCUUAACACAUGCAAGUCGAACGGAAAGGCCCUGCUUUUGUGGGGUGCUCGAGUGGCGAACGGGUGAGUAACACGUGAGUAACCUGCCCUUGACUUUGGGAUAACUUCAGGAAACUGGGGCUAAUACCGGAUAGGAGCUCCUGCUGCAUGGUGGGGGUUGGAAAGUUUCGGCGGUUGGGGAUGGACUCGCGGCUUAUCAGCUUGUUGGUGGGGUAGUGGCUUACCAAGGCUUUGACGGGUAGCCGGCCUGAGAGGGUGACCGGCGACAUUGGGACUGAGAUACGGCCCAGAAUCCUACGGGAGGCAGCAGUGGGGAAUAUUGCACAAUGGGCGGAAGCCUGAUGCAGCAACGCCGCGUGCGGGAUGACGGCCUUCGGGUUGUAAACCGCUUUCGCCUGUGACGAAGCGUGAGUGACGGUAAUGGGUAAAGAAGCACCGGCUAACUACGUG
RNAcentral lists this ribosomal RNA (468 nucleotides) under uncultured bacterium. RNAcentral's name for it is "partial 16S ribosomal RNA". It matches the Rfam family "Bacterial small subunit ribosomal RNA", at positions 28 to 507 of the family's 1533-position model. The record is from RNAcentral.